This 474-nucleotide long non-coding RNA is filed under the name Mytilus galloprovincialis (Mediterranean mussel). Lineage: Eukaryota; Metazoa; Mollusca; Bivalvia; Mytilida; Mytilidae. The record is from RNAcentral.
CUUUAGAAAAAUGCGUUUACAUACUGUAAAAGUACACAAAACUAAAAAACAUUAAAAUGCAAUAUUAUUCACAGUCUACUUUAAUCACAUAUAACUUGACUCUUACUCUAAUAUAAUAUUUGUAUAUUCAUGAAGUUAAAUACACUGCCUAUGUUCAUCACAAAACCAAUCACUGGUAACCCCUGCACACGUUUGAUGACUCCAUUUGCUACAUGUAACUCUUCCUCUUUUUGCUUCGCACCCUAUCAUAUUUUCGUAUAAAUCAGGCUUCCCACAUAAGCAAACACAUUCAAUCUUUCUCUGAUGUAUUUUAACAUGAAUGUCAGAAGGAAGGCCUAACAUCUUGGGAAAUUCAAUAAGAGAUCCUUGUUCCAAACAACUUACAAGAUGAGUUCUCAUUGAUUGUUCGUCGUAAUCGAUCUUUAAACGAGGGUUAAAAUUUUGAUUCACACAAAAUUCCAAUAAGUUAGCCAG